CUGCAGUCUGCAACUCGACUGCACGAAGCUGGAAUCGCUAGUAAUCGCGAAUCAGAAUGUCGCGGUGAAUACGUUCCCGGGUCUUGUACACACCGCCCGUCACACCAUGGGAGUUGGUAAUGCCCGAAGUCAGUGACCCAACCGCAAGGAGGGAGCUGCCGAAGGCAGGAUCGAUAACUGGGGUGAAGUCGUAACAAGGUAGCCGUAUCGGAAGGUGCGGCUGGAUCACCUCCUUUCUAAGGAA
RNAcentral lists this ribosomal RNA (244 nucleotides) under Roseburia intestinalis. RNAcentral describes it as "partial 16S ribosomal RNA". It matches the Rfam family "Bacterial small subunit ribosomal RNA", at positions 1298 to 1533 of the family's 1533-position model. The record is from RNAcentral. Lineage: Bacteria; Bacillati; Bacillota; Clostridia; Lachnospirales; Lachnospiraceae.